GCCCCAGGUCUGCUCUGUGACGCCCCAGUAACACCCUGAGCACUGCCUGGCAGCCCAGACGUGGGCACAGGACCAUUUCUGAGUGAUCUGCCUAAGAGGUGCCAAUUCCUUCUUGGUAUCAUUUUAAGAGUUUUUGUUCCUAGACGGAAGAAAAUGGCAGGACAUCUUCAAUGAAAAUGGGAAAGAUCAUAUUAAUAGCUGACUUUUAUUAGUAGAGAAAAGAAAGACCUUUUGGUGAAAGGCUUCCAACUUUAAGAAAGGAAACUUUGACCAAAAGAGAGAACUUACUGUUUUGAAAGAGUUUGCUGGGUGGAGACAUCAGACUGAGAGGAUCUUGCGCAACUCUGCUUUUUAGGCCUAAUACUAAAUUCACCCAUUUAUUCAUUUGCUUUGCACAGGAAAAUCACUGAGGAAUGCAGUGGAAAGGCAGAGUUCUGGUCUAGUUGAGAGCACUUCCAGGAUCAGGAAGGCCACGCAAGACGUGUGGGGGGUGCUCUGUGCAGGUGAAGGCAGCUCGGGGACCGGGGUGCCGUGUGCCUGCCCCUAACCCCGAGGCUGGAGAGGUUCAUGACGUGAGAGGUGCUGCUGGUGCAGGGUUUGCCCUUCUCUGACCGGCACGUUGAGCUUUGGGCUUUCUGCCCGUCCUCCUCCUUGUGCUGCCCCAGCGUGACCCAGCUGCCAGGCUCUGAUAAGGCUGAGGGGAGAUAAGAGGCUCGUUGCCUUCUCCUUCAUCUGCAGCACCAGCAAGUGGCAAGGGUCAGCUCUCAAAACCCUGUGAGUUCUGUGAAAUACAAGGGAAAGUGGCUCCCGAGUGAAACGGGUCAUGCACCCCCCCCAUCUGUGUUUGUUAAACACAAAGCUCCGGAGAAAGAAUUGAAAGGGGAAAAGGAUUAAAGGGCAGUAGAAGAGAGCAGGUUCCCCUUUUCCCCUGCACACCUCCACGUCCCUCAAGAAGAUGCCUCGAAGCUCCAGGACGGUUUUAUCUUGAGCAAAGCCCCAGGCUGUUGAUGUGGCAGAGGGGCCAAGACACACCCCGAGGGACACAGGUAGGAAUUUGGCUCUGGAGCUGUUUCCACUGGAAAACAAAGGGGUUUCUGUGACAGUCAGGAACAAGUGCCAGUUAAAGGGCAUGAGCUCCUCCCGUGCUGUGUUCAGCUGCAGAAUCUCAGCAGCGAAGUUCACACAAGCCACCAGCAGCCCUCUGCGCCCUCCUUCCUCAGGUAGGCUGAGCACAGCAGGGUUCUGCACUCAGAAAACUGUGAAAACUUGCUUCUUACCGCCUCUCAGCUCCUUCCUUGGCAGCACAUUUUUAGGGUGACCGGGAAAGUACCGUUCUCUCCCCAGAACGUGGUGUCUGACUGCCGUGCAUCCGCAGCAGGGCUUUAAGGAGCAGCGCACACAAACUGCGGCGGGGCGCGGAGCUCCAUGGCCAGCGCGGCUUCUCCUGCAGCACGUGCUGCCUCUGAGGAGGCACGAGAGGCAGGGCAUAAAGCAGCAGCUAUGGGCUGCCUGGGGUCUCCCCUGCCCUGAUCUGUGGUGUUGGAGGCCGCUGUUGCUGCAGUGCCUGCGGUGGGGUCCGUAGCACCAGCGCCGGGGUGGACCAGGUUCAAGCGCUUUUUGCCGGUAGAGCUGCAGAAGGGAUGAAUUAUGAUGUCAAAACAGAGAGAUGUUGUCACACAACCACCUCCCCUCCUGGGGUCAAGGUCCUGUUUUAUAGCUUGGGAGCCCAUUAGUCCGUUUAAAAGCAUAUGGCCAAGCACGGCCACAAAAAUCCCGUGUGUUUGGGUCAGAGCUGCAGACAAAAGGCUCUUUGUGCGAAGAGCUGACAAUGACAAAUAAAGAGGAACCUGUUGAUCUAGGGGAGAAAUGGAGGCUUAUGAAAAGAUCACAUGGUGAGAAAGAGACCUUGGCUGUUUGUCUGGAUGUCAGUCUUGUCUGUCAUUAAGCUGCUUUCUGCAGCUAUUUGCUAAUAGAAAUGCUGUCUCCUGCCCGUGUGUUUUGUCUGUCCUGGAAAAUGCUACCUGUGUCUGAGCGUGCCAGCCUCGUGAGACCACAUCAGAGAGGAGAUAUGCUCUUAACUGGAUCCUUGCCAUGUGUUAGGUGUUGCAUAAAAUAGUUAAUGCUUGCAGAUUCUUCUGAAAGCACUGGUAGUACCAGAAACAGUAAAUGCUAAAAAAAAAAAAAAAAGUCUGUCCAACUGUGAUACAUCAGCACAGGACACACAGACACAUACACACCACCAGUAACAAACCCCUCAUAAUUCAGCGAAGUUAUUGGAGGCCCAACCAAGAGCCAUGUCUAAUGCUAAUAACAAGCAUAUUUCCCAAAGGUAACAUUUGAUUUCUAUCCAAACCCGGACAUAUUUGAAGCUUUGCCUGAAAGCCGUUGCGUCGCAGAUUACCUGGGACAAUUUAAUCUGUGAAUAACUUCGUAAAGCCUUCAGCCAGCUCUGAGGAAACAGCAAUACAGUCUUGAUGAGACUGGGCUGCAAAACACUUCACAGCUGAAGAAACUGAGAUGGGGAAGGUGGCUGGAAGUUGAGACGGAGGGAAACGUCCCUUGCUGUUCUUUAAGCACUGGUUUGAAAUCAAUGCAGAUAAUGCACUUGGAAGGACCGUCUCGUUUACUGGUUUUCAGUAAAUUGCUGGGCUGUGUUUCCCAGUGAUAACGUGAUAGUGACGUCUAUGCCGGUAAGAAUAUAUAUAUAUAUAUUUUUAAAAAAGUCUGCAAUUCCUUGCAAGCAACUUCUGGCUAGUUUAGUCUGGGAUGCCCUGAAUUCUGUACGUUGACAGUAAAUAUCUCGGGCUGCUGCAUGUCGCUCCCGGUAGUACAACCUGCUCCUGAGUUAUCUGUGGCUUCUUCCAAAGACACAACAAACUCUGCUUCAGCACAACAGCCUCCUGCAGUGUCAGGCAGUGAGAAAUGCCCUUGCCUGCUCACUACAGCCUUGCACAAACCUCCCUGGCACAGCAGAGGUUCCUUCUAACCAGUGCUCCUCCUUCUUCCUUAGUCCUGAUUUUUGCCCCUGGAAGUCGGUGAUGAACUCCCAGUGACUUCAGUGCUGCUGGAUUAGACCUGGGGUUCAAUUAUCCUCCUUAAAAGUACAAACUAAUAAUUCAUACUUCUAAGUGGGCUUGCUAUGGACAGCACCACUAGGGAUUUAGUGCACAAUGUUGGAGUUGGUGCUUGGGCUUUCUCCUAACAAUCUUUUUUAACUGGAGGCAGAUCUCUUUAUAUAUGCACUGGGAGAAUAAUUUUAUGAGUAAAUAUGAUCUUUAUUAAUAUUUUUCUUUGUUAAUUCACUGAUGCUAGUAAAGAACUUUUGAAGAUGAAAGCACUGCAUGCAAUAAACAUUAAGAUGAUUCCAAUUUAUUUUAAUGUUGCCAGCAUUCCUGCUCCAUCAUCUUUCAUCCAAGAAUCUCAAAGUGCUUUCCAAGUGCUAAUAAAUUUUCUCUCAACAGUCCCGGGAGAUAUUUAUUAUCAUCAUCCCCAUUUCAUAAAGGAGUGCAUUUUACAUGGUCAAAAUCGGGUCGUACGGCAGGAAUCUAUUUGGGAAGGAGCCAACAAUCCCUGAUUCCCAUUCUCCUGCUCUUGCUGCUAGACCACAUUCCCUUCUGGGGAGUGUGGUGCGACACUCACCCGCGGCGCUUGCCUUCCUUUGUCAGGUGCUCGCAGUGGUUGCUCUUAAAACAAAAAAAUAGACAACAAUAACAUGCCCCACCCAGGAUGGGAGAGGAAAUGAGACUCUGCAAAGUCAGAACGAUCGCAGUUGUUGGUUGCACGCAGUGGGCUAGGGUGAGGUUUGCUGGGAGUCCUGGUGCCCAGCCGCCUGCCUGGUAGGCGUGGGGAUGAAGGCGCUGCUUGGAGGGACAGAACAGACACGUCUUCCAAUGUGCAGGAGUAAGCUUUAAUUGGAGGCUGUUCUAGAGCCCUGUUGUAGUGUUGGGAUCUUAUAAUCCAUACCCAAAAGACAGUUAAAAUGGAAAUAUUUUCUCAAACACGGCAUAGGUGAGGGUGUAUUGAGGUGGAGAGUGCAGCUAAGCAUAAAAGAUCUGGGUUAAAUAGCACACAGAGUAGCUGCACUUCUAAAGCACUCUCCCCAAACCAGAGGCUAAGCUAAUGAUGAGAAGACCGUUUAGAGACAGCAUGACUCCAGCAAUCCAUGAGAACAAUGCAAAGUUCAAAAAUAGCAGUAUCGACUGGUGGAAAAACAGCAUACAUAUAAUUUUCAGGUAAUUACUAUAGUAUAAUUAGCUCUGUUGUUUUCAUAAGAGCCAUCUGAAAUGAACUCUACUUGCUACUGGAACCCAGCUUUAUUUACAGCGUUCCCAGGACUAAAGUGAUUCGUUAAAAAUAGAGAGGAGGUAAAAAAUAAUAAAGAUGCGAGCGCUUCGUGUGCGAUACCAUCUCCGUGCAGUGGGUGGAGGCUACCUGCUGACGUCUCGCUCAGCGUUUCAUCCGCCCUACUCCGAGCCACGUUGGGCAACACGAGAGCUGAAGAACUGAGGAGCAGAAGCAAAAUCUACUCCCAGGCUGUCUGUAUGAGGGGGAGUAACGCGUAGCAUCAUAGCAGGCACUCGCUCUCAAAGUUAGGGAAAAUCUAGCACCUUGGUUUUUUAUUUAUUUAUUUUUUUUCUCUGCCACAGAACUUUGCUUGUUAGGAAUUAUUCAGUAUCGGUAGAAAGUAACUUCUCGAGCACUAGGGCCUUGCAGUCUCAUGUAAAAACACUUUUAAUUAGAAUGAAAGAGUUUGUCACAGUUAAAA
Molecule: long non-coding RNA, 4765 nt
Organism: Oxyura jamaicensis (ruddy duck)
Lineage: Eukaryota; Metazoa; Chordata; Aves; Anseriformes; Anatidae
Exons: 2
Source: RefSeq, a predicted model, not a curated record